RNAcentral lists this long non-coding RNA (259 nucleotides) under Lathyrus oleraceus (garden pea). Its description in RNAcentral is "Pisum sativum (pea) long non-coding RNA (PSAT_LNC003440)". Lineage: Eukaryota; Viridiplantae; Streptophyta; Magnoliopsida; Fabales; Fabaceae. The record is from RNAcentral.
GUCCCAAUUAGAAAAGGGUUUUUCACGUGAAAACAGAGAAGCGACUGGAAAGUGGAGAAAGGGAGAAGAAGAGGCUAGGGCUCAGGAGGAGAAUUCUCGAUUGUUGAAGGUCAAAGAAUCAAUUGCCGGAUUAACUCAGGUAAGGGGGGUUUAUCGUCGUUUAAUGGGUAUUAUGGGUUAACAUGUAAUGGGUAGUAAUAAGCCAUUGAAUUGACCCUAAUCAGGAUGAUGAAUGCUGAAAAUGGUGAUGAAUAAAUUA